The sequence is a non-coding RNA, 350 nucleotides long. It matches the Rfam family "Alphaproteobacteria transfer-messenger RNA". From Rfam's summary of the family: Bacterial tmRNA, also known as 10Sa RNA or SsrA, is named for its dual tRNA and mRNA-like properties. Its role is to liberate the mRNA from a stalled ribosome. The record is from Rfam.
CCCAUUGAAAGCCGCGCGCCGCCGUCCUAUAUGAGGGGUGUUCCGCAAGGGACUAUGGGCAUAAACGCGCAUGUAAUAAACGGAUCGGACCCGGGGGCGGUACCCGGCGGCUCCACCAAUAAACCCUUGUUGGGGGUUCAUGGGGCCGAAAUAGGAUCGACGAACGCGUAAAGAUGUAGCUUUGUCCCGGUGAGAUACCACCGUUAUCGGUUCAUAAAGCAUAGUUGCCAACAACAAUCGUGCUCCGAUGGCUCUGGCUGCGUAAGCAGUCCGAAACAUCGAAAUCUAAGUCCUUGCGCCUAGCAGCGUAAGGCGGGGUUCGCAGGUACCUGGCAACAGAAACCUGCACU